ACGGCUGCUAAUACCCCAUAUGCCGCGAGGUGAAAUGAAUUUCGCCUGAGGAUGAGCUCGCGUCUGAUUAGCUAGUUGGUGUAGGUAAUGGCUCACCAAGGCAUCGAUCAGUAGCUGGUCUGAGAGGAUGAUCAGCCACACUGGGACUGAGACACGGCCCAGACUCCUACGGGAGGCAGCAGUGGGGAAUUUUCCGCAAUGGGCGAAAGCCUGACGGAGCAACGCCGCGUGAGGAAUGAAGGCCUCUGGGCUGUAAACCUCUUUUAUCAAGGAAGAAGAUCUGACGGUACUUGAUGAAUAAGCCACGGCUAAUUCCGUGCCAGCAGCCGCGGUAAUACGGGAGUGGCAAGCGUUAUCCGGAAUUAUUGGGCGUAAAGCGUCCGCAGGCGGCCCUUCAAGUCUGCUGUUAAAAAGUGGAGCUUAACUCCAUUCAUG
This 435-nucleotide ribosomal RNA is filed under the name uncultured bacterium. Its description in RNAcentral is "bacterial SSU rRNA". It matches the Rfam family "Bacterial small subunit ribosomal RNA", at positions 156 to 623 of the family's 1533-position model. The record is from RNAcentral.